Molecule: ribosomal RNA, 450 nt
Filed under: uncultured bacterium
Lineage: Bacteria
Description: partial 16S ribosomal RNA
Rfam family: Bacterial small subunit ribosomal RNA
Source: RNAcentral
GUGGGGAAUAUUGGACAAUGGGCGAAAGCCUGAUCCAGCCAUGCCGCGUGUGUGAAGAAGGUCUUCGGAUUGUAAAGCACUUUAAGUUGGGAGGAAGGGCAGUAAGUUAAUACCUUGCUGUUUUGACGUUACCAACAGAAUAAGCACCGGCUAACUUCGUGCCAGCAGCCGCGGUAAUACGAAGGGUGCAAGCGUUAAUCGGAAUUACUGGGCGUAAAGCGCGCGUAGGUGGUUCAGCAAGUUGGAGGUGAAAUCCCCGGGCUCAACCUGGGAACUGCCUCCAAAACUACUGAGCUAGAGUACGGUAGAGGGUAGUGGAAUUUCCUAUGUAGCGGUGAAAUGCGUAGAUAUAGGAAGGAACACCAGUGGCGAAGGCGACUACCUGGACUGAUACUGACACUGAGGUGCGAAAGCGUGGGGAGCAAACAGGAUUAGAAACCCGGGUAGUCC